AUUGAACGCUGGCGGCAUGCCUUACACAUGCAAGUCGAACGGUAACGCGCCUUCGGGUGCCGACGAGUGGCGAACGGGUGAGUAAUACAUCGGAACGUGCCCGAUCGUGGGGGAUAACGAGGCGAAAGCUUUGCUAAUACCGCAUACGAUCUACGGAUGAAAGCAGGGGACCGCAAGGCCUUGCGCGGACGGAGCGGCCGAUGGCAGAUUGGGUAGUUGGUGGGAUAAAAGCUUACCAAGCCGACGAUCUGUAGCUGGUCUGAGAGGAUGAUCAGCCACACUGGGACUGAGACACGGCCCAGACUCCUACGGGAGGCAGCAGUGGGGAAUUUUGGACAAUGGGCGCAAGCCUGAUCCAGCCAUGCCGCGUGCAGGAUGAAGGCCUUCGGGUUGUAAACUGCUUUUGUACGGAACGAAAAGCCUUCUUUUAAUACAGGAGGGUCAUGACGGUACCGUAAGAAUAAGCACCGGCUAACUACGUG
RNAcentral lists this ribosomal RNA (482 nucleotides) under uncultured bacterium. RNAcentral describes it as "partial 16S ribosomal RNA". It matches the Rfam family "Bacterial small subunit ribosomal RNA", at positions 30 to 507 of the family's 1533-position model. The record is from RNAcentral.